GCUCUAUUAGCAUAGUGGUUUAGUGCAUCUGGUUUUCUCCCAGAAGACAAGGGUUCGAUUCCCUUAUAGAGUACAA
This 76-nucleotide transfer RNA is filed under the name Gaetbulibacter sp. 4G1. Its description in RNAcentral is "tRNA-Glu". It matches the Rfam family "tRNA". Rfam says of the family: Transfer RNA (tRNA) molecules are approximately 80 nucleotides in length. The record is from RNAcentral. Lineage: Bacteria; Pseudomonadati; Bacteroidota; Flavobacteriia; Flavobacteriales; Flavobacteriaceae.